CAGUAGCCGCGGUAAGACAGAGGAUGCAAGCGUUAUCCGGAAUGAUUGGGCGUAAAGCGUCUGUAGGUGGCUUUUCAAGUCCGCCGUCAAAUCCCAGGGCUCAACCCUGGACAGGCGGUGGAAACUACCAAGCUGGAGUACGGUAGGGGCAGAGGGAAUUUCCGGUGGAGCGGUGAAAUGCGUAGAUAUAUGGAGGAACACCAGUGGCGAAGGCGACUCUCUGGUCUGUAACUGACGCUGAGGAGCGAAAGCGUGGGGAGCGAACAGGAUUAGAUACCCGCGUAGUCCCUGUCUCUUAUAC
This 301-nucleotide ribosomal RNA is filed under the name uncultured bacterium. Its description in RNAcentral is "partial 16S ribosomal RNA". It matches the Rfam family "Bacterial small subunit ribosomal RNA", at positions 509 to 807 of the family's 1533-position model. The record is from RNAcentral.